AGAGUUUGAUCCUGGCUCAGAUUGAACGCUGGCGGCAGGCCUAACACAUGCAAGUCGAGCGGUAGAGAGGAGCUUGCUUCUCUUGAGAGCGGCGGACGGGUGAGUAAUGCCUAGGAAUCUGCCUAGUGGUGGGGGAUAACGUUCGGAAACGGACGCUAAUACCGCAUACGUCCUACGGGAGAAAGCGGGGGACCUUCGGGCCUCGCGCCAUUAGAUGAGCCUAGGUCGGAUUAGCUAGUUGGUGAGGUAACGGCUCACCAAGGCGACGAUCCGUAACUGGUCUGAGAGGAUGAUCAGUCACACUGGAACUGAGACACGGUCCAGACUCCUACGGGAGGCAGCAGUGGGGAAUAUUGGACAAUGGGCGAAAGCCUGAUC
This 378-nucleotide ribosomal RNA is filed under the name uncultured bacterium. Its description in RNAcentral is "bacterial SSU rRNA". It matches the Rfam family "Bacterial small subunit ribosomal RNA", at positions 8 to 388 of the family's 1533-position model. The record is from RNAcentral.